RNAcentral lists this ribosomal RNA (544 nucleotides) under uncultured Planctomycetia bacterium. RNAcentral describes it as "bacterial SSU rRNA". It matches the Rfam family "Bacterial small subunit ribosomal RNA", at positions 193 to 743 of the family's 1533-position model. The record is from RNAcentral. Lineage: Bacteria; Pseudomonadati; Planctomycetota; Planctomycetia.
GAUGACGACGAAAGUCCAAAGCUCCGGCGGCCGCGGAGGGGCCUAUGUGAUAUUGGCUUGUUGGUGGGGUAAUGGCCCACCAAGGCGAAGAUGUCUAGCGGGUGUGAGAGCACGACCCGCGCCACUGGCACUGAUACACUGGCCAGACACCUACGGGUGGCUGCAGUCUAGGAUCUUCGGCAAUGGGCGCAAGCCUGACCGAGCGAGGCCGCGUGGGCGAUGAAGGCCUUCGGGUUGUAAAGCCCUGUCGAGAGGGAGAAAAGCGAAAGCUUGAUCUAUCUCUGGAGGAAGCACGGGCUAAGUUCGUGCCAGCAGCCGCGGUAAGACGAACCGUGCGAACGUUGUUCGGAAUCACUGGGCUUAAAGGGCGCGUAGGCGGGCCACCAAGUCCGGGGUGAAAUCCUCCAGCUCAACUGGAGAACUGCCUCGGAUACUGGAGGUCUCGAGGGAGAUAGGGGCACGCGGAACUGUGGGUGGAGCGGUGAAAUGCGUUGAUAUCCAUAGGAACUCCGGUGGCGAAGGCGGCGUGCUGGAUCUCUUCUGA